RNAcentral lists this ribosomal RNA (1378 nucleotides) under Salmonella enterica. RNAcentral's name for it is "partial 23S ribosomal RNA". It matches the Rfam family "Bacterial large subunit ribosomal RNA", at positions 1589 to 2925 of the family's 2925-position model. Lineage: Bacteria; Pseudomonadati; Pseudomonadota; Gammaproteobacteria; Enterobacterales; Enterobacteriaceae. The record is from RNAcentral.
AGCAACAAAUGCCCUGCUUCCAGGAAAAGCCUCUAAGCAUCAGGUAACAUCAAAUCGUACCCCAAACCGACACAGGUGGUCAGGUAGAGAAUACCAAGGCGCUUGAGAGAACUCGGGUGAAGGAACUAGGCAAAAUGGUGCCGUAACUUCGGGAGAAGGCACGCUGACACGUAGGUGAAGUGAUUUACUCACGGAGCUGAAGUCAGUCGAAGAUACCAGCUGGCUGCAACUGUUUAUUAAAAACACAGCACUGUGCAAACACGAAAGUGGACGUAUACGGUGUGACGCCUGCCCGGUGCCGGAAGGUUAAUUGAUGGGGUCAGCGCAAGCGAAGCUCCUGAUCGAAGCCCCGGUAAACGGCGGCCGUAACUAUAACGGUCCUAAGGUAGCGAAAUUCCUUGUCGGGUAAGUUCCGACCUGCACGAAUGGCGUAAUGAUGGCCAGGCUGUCUCCACCCGAGACUCAGUGAAAUUGAACUCGCUGUGAAGAUGCAGUGUACCCGCGGCAAGACGGAAAGACCCCGUGAACCUUUACUAUAGCUUGACACUGAACAUUGAGCCUUGAUGUGUAGGAUAGGUGGGAGGCUUUGAAGCGUGGACGCCAGUCUGCGUGGAGCCGACCUUGAAAUACCACCCUUUAAUGUUUGAUGUUCUAACGUGGACCCGUAAUCCGGGUUGCGGACAGUGUCUGGUGGGUAGUUUGACUGGGGCGGUCUCCUCCUAAAGAGUAACGGAGGAGCACGAAGGUUGGCUAAUCCUGGUCGGACAUCAGGAGGUUAGUGCAAUGGCAUAAGCCAGCUUGACUGCGAGCGUGACGGCGCGAGCAGGUGCGAAAGCAGGUCAUAGUGAUCCGGUGGUUCUGAAUGGAAGGGCCAUCGCUCAACGGAUAAAAGGUACUCCGGGGAUAACAGGCUGAUACCGCCCAAGAGUUCAUAUCGACGGCGGUGUUUGGCACCUCGAUGUCGGCUCAUCACAUCCUGGGGCUGAAGUAGGUCCCAAGGGUAUGGCUGUUCGCCAUUUAAAGUGGUACGCGAGCUGGGUUUAGAACGUCGUGAGACAGUUCGGUCCCUAUCUGCCGUGGGCGCUGGAAGACUGAGGGGGGCUGCUCCUAGUACGAGAGGACCGGAGUGGACGCAUCACUGGUGUUCGGGUUGUCAUGCCAAUGGCACUGCCCGGUAGCUAAAUGCGGAAAAGAUAAGUGCUGAAAGCAUCUAAGCACGAAACUUGCCCCGAGAUGAGUCUUCCCUGAGACUUUGAGUCUCCUGAAGGAACGUUAAAGACGAUGACGUUGAUAGGCCGGGUGUGUAAGCGCAGCGAUGCGUUGAGCUAACCGGUACUAAUGAACCGUGAGGCUUAACCUUACAACGCCGAAGGUGUUU